Myodes glareolus (Bank vole) is the source of this 104-nucleotide small nuclear RNA. The record is from RefSeq and is a predicted model, not a curated record. Lineage: Eukaryota; Metazoa; Chordata; Mammalia; Rodentia; Cricetidae.
ACAUACACUGAAACACAGGCGCUAAAGCUGGGACGACACUGAGAAGAUUAGCAAGGCCCCUGGGCAAGGACAGCACACAAACUCAUGAAACAGUCCACAAUUUU